Long non-coding RNA from Ictalurus furcatus (blue catfish), 1845 nucleotides. RefSeq lists it as uncharacterized. The record is from RefSeq and is a predicted model, not a curated record. The transcript is spliced from 4 exons. NCBI's taxonomy places the organism in Eukaryota, Metazoa, Chordata, Actinopteri, Siluriformes, Ictaluridae.
AUAUUUCAACAAACUGGUUUUUACUUUUAGAAAAGGGAAAUAAAAUGCGCAAUACACUAAAAUUGAAUAUUCUAUUUAUUUAUUAUUUUUUGCGUUUGUGAAGGAUAAAUGAAAGUUAUAAAAUGAUUUGAAAGACGUUCAAUCCUACUUCCGGGGAAAGUACAAAAGAAGAAGAACUCGCAUUGUUUUGUUUUCGUCUGAGGAAGCUAACACUGCCAAGCUGCAGAGCUCAUCCUGUUAAAACACUCGAAUGUUUGAUUAAUCCGUAUAAAUUCUUCGGAUGAUCUCGAACCGGUUUUCUCUACACAUGUAUUUUUUUAAUUAUUAUUAUUAGCAUCGUCUCCGUAAUUGUUUAUUGCGUUCGGAAAGCUACUUCGUUAGAUAAACAAGCUAGUUAGCCGAGUGUAAGGCUAAUACGCCUGGAUUAGCAUUGUUCGUUUAUUAAUGUACGUUACUGCAUGUCGAGUAUUGCUCCAGAAAUCUUCCCUCGGUGUGUUUUUAAUACUUAUACCACGUUUAACACUUUUAGUCUUUCAUAACAAUUGAGGUUUUUGUUUUCCAGAUACAAGAUAUAAGAGAUCAUCAGGAUGGUGUGUGAGCUGCUUCUGUCAUCAGUCUGGCUGCUGUUUGUAGUUUUCUGGGUGGAGACCAUCAGCGUGUGGCUGUUCCUCUGUCUCUUCUAUCAGGACAGAGCUUUCUAUCACUGGGGUGACGGGGCGUUUGCUGAUGAUCCUGGUCAGAUGCUCUACAUGCUGAGCAGGUCGGAUCGCUCCGUUCACACCCAGACCUGAGCUCGCGGCCUCGUCGUCAGCUGGGAACGCCAAUCAACCAAACAGCUGGGGAGGAAAAUGGCUUCCCGUCCGACUGCUGCCGCCUUUCAACAAUCUACGCCGUGUCCAGCACUGGAGAAUUAGCACGGAGCUCGCGACCGAGCGCAGAUUCUGUGUUGGUUGUUAUAAAGGGAACUUGUAUCACAUUUCUCGCUUUGUCUCCUCUAAAAGGAGUUUCUCUUCUCAAAAAAAAAACCAAAAAACAAAAAAACACCCUCCCGGCAGCUCGGUGUAGCGAAGACGCUAAAACGUAUAUCAUCUGUCUGACUCUGAUUUUUAAGCUCGUGUUCCUGGUGCCUGUGAUUGAAGCAAAUAUUUCUAUUUUAAUGUCCUCACUUUACAUCGUCUCGUUUAAGCGCGUGCUUCAUAUCACAACGACUUGCUGUGGUUUACGAUAUUAUCGUGACCGUUUUGGUCUGCUGUGUAUUUCAGACUGUCCAGUGGGAUGUGAGGUUUUCAGGAGACGAAGACAUUGAAUAUUUACGUAACUUUUUUUUUUUUUUUUUUUUUUUUUAAAUAAUUUUAGCAGUGAUCACUACGACAUGCAGCCUUAAACGCGAAGUUAAGAGAUUUAGGUGAACGAUACACAAUCACGUACACAACGUAACUGUGAAUGUACCCACAAAGAUGCAAGAGGACUCCUUAAAAUCCAGUAAUAAACCUUAAUAACAUUCCUCUAUCUAAAGGGACGAACACACACUCUUGUGUGACCCUGGUGACCGAUGUUUGCACUAGUGCUAUAUAAUAAUCGCAAUUUUAAAAUACAUAUGUUUGUUUUAUGCUUAAUUUGUUAGUUUGCAUCUUUUAGUGAUGUCCUUUGCAAAAAUUAAAAAGUCAGCUCUUUGAUUCAGCUCUUUUAGGUUAAUGUCAGGAGUCAAUUUACUCGUAAACUUUAUUUUUUAUUUAUUUAAUUUUUUUUUUUUUUAAACAUACAGGUAAUUUGGAUGUUCCAUUCAUUAAAAUAAAUCUUUGUGAUCAGACAGUGCCACAAUAACAUUAAAGCAGCAAUGCUUAC